UCCAGCAUGGUGCCCAGAGAGCUUAGGAAACAUCUUCACCCUGCUGGACGGCUCUUGGUCUGGUUGGCUUCUCCCCUUCUUUUCCCCUCCCUGCAAAGAGGUGCACCAUCAGAUGUCCUCAUCAUCCACUGUGGCGGCAACAGCAUUUAAGGACGUGUGACGGCCCCUGCUUAGUCUACUUCUACCUGAUAUGGAGCGCCUGGGCCCAGUGUGCUACAGGAUAUAAAAGUCCCACAUUCCAUUGUGGCUGGCUGUCUCCCUGACAGCACCUGCACCUUACUGCUUUGCUGAACCAUUGUUUUUAUUUUUACUCCACACCUAAUCCCACAGUAUAUGAACACUACUUAUUUACCACUGUUACUAUCCAGGUUCCAUUAUUAUAAUUACUGUUACAACUAUUACACAUUUUCAUUUAUUUAAGUGUAUUAACUGUACAUUAUUUCAAGUCAUACAAAACAACAAUUUUAACCUUUUUACUGCUGUUUUGCAGGAUAGGAUUUUAAUUUGUUUAACUGUUUCUUGUGUAGUGUAAUCAUUUGUUAAAUAAAAUCAGGCAAGACUAAUAAUCGGUUCCAUCCAUCUUCAACCGCUUAUCCUGCAUACAGGGUUGCGGGACUAAUCAUCAAGUUAGCUAUGUUAAUUUGAAACAUAGUAGUGAUCUAAACCUUUCACAAAAUAUGAUGGUUAAUAGUUGUAAAUGAAAAUAAUGAGAUGGUAUUUAUAGUAUUGGUAUAUAUGGUAUUUAACAUGUUGAAUCUCUUUUUGCAGAAAGUAAAAAAUGGAAAGCAAGAGACCAGUGUGAAAUCCACUUAGAAGUUUUAUAAAUAGCUUCUCAAUAAAUAGUUUUGAAGCUCCCUAGGAGGUGUCAUUUAUUGUGACCUCUGAGAAGUCUUGUAGAUAUUGCACAGGUAUUGUGAGGCUUUACCCGUUUAGUGAGGCAAAAGGAAAAAAACUAAAUCAGCUGAUAGAAAGCACCUAUUAAUCAGAGGUGCACAUCAGCUGAUUGUUUGUCUUUGCCUCCCUGUUAAACCUUCAUGAUAGUGUAUUUGCCUGAGAAGACCUCAGAGUUUGAAACAUUGCAAUAAAUGAGACUGCCUAGUGGGAUUCAUAAUUACUUAGAGUGCAGGUCAUUCUUAUUUUUUCACUCUAAGCCCUUUUAUUCAGCACUAUGUGAGCAUAGUUUGUUGGAUGUGCAAGUUUUUGUGUUUGAACUAGACAGUACAGUAUAUAGUAUACAGUAUAUCAGAAUGUGAAAUCUAGCUAAUUUGACAUCUUUCUGUUGGAGGGUCGUCACUCUCCAUUGUCCCUGCCACAUCUGCCGAAGCUUACCUAAUGUCAUGUUCAAACAGUCAUGGGAGGUCUUGGGGGGGAUCUGGGUUUUAAUUUCAUUUUUUGAAAAUGCGAUGGCUGUUCAAGCAGUUGCUCAGAUCACGGCUGCCUUGUCGAGAAGAAACGGAGAGAAAAAACUGAAAAAAGCAGCCAAAAGGAGGCAGAGGGAGAAAUUGUUAAGAGCAGGAGGUAGAGGUGAAUGUUUGUCUAAUCGUUGUCCAGCAGACUGAGGUGCUAAGUGGUUGACUCAGCGACAAUAACAACACUUUGUGUCACAGACGAAAACAGGAUCUUCAUGCCAGGGUGCUGGAGGUAAAGCCGGUGCAGGUCGUCCUCCAUGUUGACCAACUUCAUGCUGAUGACCUCCCGCAUGCUGCUGCUGCCACAGUGGAUGAUGAGGACAUCUGAUGGUGCACCUCUUUGCAGGGAGGGGAAAAGAAGGGGAGAAGCCAACCAGACCAAGAGACAUCUGGCAGGGUGAAGAUGCUUCCUAAGCUCUCUGGGCACCAUGCUGGACACAAGCUGUCACCAAUGAUCCUCACUGCAACUAUGGGUAUAUGUGAUGGCCUAAGCCACACAGGUUAACAGCCAGCAAUGGUAAUACCGCACACAAGCUAUGUUUUAAGUACACAAGUUAUUUUUGCAGUUGGCCACACCCAAAUAAUUCAUGAUUUCAAAACACAGACCACAUAGUUUAUUUCAGGUAUAAUAUACAUUUAUUUGCUUUAGCCAUACACUGUUUAAAUGGAGUGCACACAUUUUCAUAUUGUAGGGUUAUCUAAACAUUUUCUGUUCUAUUAAUCAUUGUUUCUUUGUUACCAUGUUGGAGAGAGGUCUGUCCUGGAGGAAGAAAGGCAUGGCCAAGGGUGGAGGACUGUUUUAUCCAGUGGCCUGCCAAUCAAGCCGUACCAUGGGCUGCCAUGUUGGAGGGGGAUUUUGGGUUUAGUUUGUUUUACUUUGUUGUCCAUUUUGUUUUCCCCUUAUGUGUAAAUUGGUAUGGCCAAGACACUAUAUAUGUUCCCUUGUGUCUCAUUCAUUUAGGUCAGUUUGUUCAGUUCAUAUCCUGUUUUGUUGUAUGCUGUUUUGCGUAUAGUUCUAUUUUGUUGACCUCUUUUAUAGGCCAAGAUGUUAAGUAAAUUUAAAAAAUAAAAAACAGUUUUCCAAGAAA
Long non-coding RNA from Micropterus dolomieu (smallmouth bass), 2497 nucleotides. RefSeq lists it as uncharacterized. The record is from RefSeq and is a predicted model, not a curated record. The transcript has 2 exons. NCBI's taxonomy places the organism in Eukaryota, Metazoa, Chordata, Actinopteri, Centrarchiformes, Centrarchidae.